RNAcentral lists this ribosomal RNA (1365 nucleotides) under uncultured Halomonas sp. RNAcentral's name for it is "bacterial SSU rRNA". It matches the Rfam family "Bacterial small subunit ribosomal RNA", at positions 81 to 1424 of the family's 1533-position model. The record is from RNAcentral. Lineage: Bacteria; Pseudomonadati; Pseudomonadota; Gammaproteobacteria; Oceanospirillales; Halomonadaceae.
UAGGAGGCGUCGAGCGGCGGACGGGUGAGUAAUGCAUAGGAAUCUGCCCGGUAGUGGGGGAUAACCUGGGGAAACCCAGGCUAAUACCGCAUACGCCCUACGGGGGAAAGCAGGGGAUCUUCGGACCUUGCGCUAUCGGAUGAGCCUAUGUCGGAUUAGCUAGUUGGUGAGGUAACGGCUCACCAAGGCUGCGAUCCGUAGCUGGUCUGAGAGGAUGAUCAGCCACAUCGGGACUGAGACACGGCCCGAACUCCUACGGGAGGCAGCAGUGGGGAAUAUUGGACAAUGGGCGAAAGCCUGAUCCAGCCAUGCCGCGUGUGUGAAGAAGGCCUUCGGGUUGUAAAGCACUUUCAGUGAGGAAGAAAGCCUUGAGGUUAAUACCCUCGAGGGAGGACAUCACUCACAGAAGAAGCACCGGCUAACUCCGUGCCAGCAGCCGCGGUAAUACGGAGGGUGCGAGCGUUAAUCGGAAUUACUGGGCGUAAAGCGCGCGUAGGCGGCUUGAUAAGCCGGUUGUGAAAGCCCCGGGCUCAACCUGGGAACGGCAUCCGGAACUGUCAGGCUAGAGUGCAGGAGAGGAAGGUAGAAUUCCCGGUGUAGCGGUGAAAUGCGUAGAGAUCGGGAGGAAUACCAGUGGCGAAGGCGGCCUUCUGGACUGACACUGACGCUGAGGUGCGAAAGCGUGGGUAGCAAACAGGAUUAGAUACCCUGGUAGUCCACGCCGUAAACGAUGUCGACUAGCCGUUGGGCUCCUUUGAGAGCUUUGGUGGCGCAGUUAACGGCGAUAAGUCCGACCGCCUGGGGGAGUACGGGCCGCAAGGGUUAAAACUCAAAUUGAAUUUGACGGGGGGCCCGCACCAAGCGGGGGGAAGCAUGGGGGUUUAAUUCCGAUGCAACGCCGAAGAACCUUUACCUACCCUUUGACAUCCGAGAAGAACUUUCCAGAGAUGGAUUGGUGCCUUCGGGAGCUCUCAGACAGGUGCUGCAUGGCUGUCGUCAGCUCGUGUUGUGAAAUGUUGGGUUAAGUCCCGUAACGAGCGCAACCCUUGUCCCUAUUUGCCAGCGAUUCGGUCGGGAACUCUAGGGAGACUGCCGGUGACAAACCGGAGGAAGGUGGGGACGACGUCAAGUCAUCAUGGCCCUUACGGGUAGGGCUACACACGUGCUACAAUGGCCGGUACAAUGGGUUGCGAAUCCGCGAGGUGGAGCUAAUCCCAUAAAGCCGGUCUCAGUCCGGAUCGGAGUCUGCAACUCGACUCCGUGAAGUCGGAAUCGCUAGUAAUCGUGAAUCAGAAUGUCACGGUGAAUACGUUCCCGGGCCUUGUACACACCGCCCGUCACACCAUGGGAGUGGACUGCACCAGA